RNAcentral lists this ribosomal RNA (464 nucleotides) under uncultured bacterium. Its description in RNAcentral is "partial 16S ribosomal RNA". It matches the Rfam family "Bacterial small subunit ribosomal RNA", at positions 28 to 507 of the family's 1533-position model. The record is from RNAcentral.
AUUGAACGCUGGCGGCAUGCUUUACACAUGCAAGUCGAACGGCAGCGCGGGCUUCGGCCUGGCGGCGCGUGGCGAACGGGUGAGUAAUGCAUCGGAACGUGCCCAGUAGUGGGGGAUAGCCCGGCGAAAGCCGGAUUAAUACCGCAUCCGACCUGAGGGUGAACGCGGGGGACCGAUAGGCCUCGCGCUAUUGGAGCGGCCGAUGUCGGAUGAGCUAGUUGGUGGGGUAAAGGCUUACCAAGGCGACGAACCGUAGCUGGUCUGCGAGGACGACCAGCCACAAUGGGACUGAGACACGGCCCAGACGCCUACGGGAGGCAGCAGUGGGGAAUUUUGGACAAUGGGGGCAAGCCUGAUCCAGCCAUGCCGGGUGCGGGAUGACGGCCUUCGGGUUGUAAACCGCUUUCGCCGGUGACGAAGCGUGAGUGACGGUAAUGGGUAAAGAAGCACCGGCUAACUACGUG